Molecule: transfer RNA, 73 nt
Filed under: Nitrososphaeria archaeon
Lineage: Archaea; Thermoproteati; Nitrososphaerota; Nitrososphaeria
Description: tRNA-Thr
Rfam family: tRNA
About the family: Transfer RNA (tRNA) molecules are approximately 80 nucleotides in length. Their secondary structure includes four short double-helical elements and three loops (D, anti-codon, and T loops). Further hydrogen bonds mediate the characteristic L-shaped molecular structure. tRNAs have two regions of fundamental functional importance: the anti-codon, which is responsible for specific mRNA codon recognition, and the 3' end, to which the tRNAs corresponding amino acid is attached (by aminoacyl-tRNA synthetases). tRNAs cope with the degeneracy of the genetic code in two manners: having more than one tRNA (with a specific anti-codon) for a particular amino acid; and 'wobble' base-pairing, i.e. permitting non-standard base-pairing at the 3rd anti-codon position.
Source: RNAcentral
GCCCCGGUAGCUCAGCUGGUAGAGCGAUUGCCUCGUAAGCAAUAGGCCGCGGGUUCAACCCCCGCCCGGGGCU